RNAcentral lists this long non-coding RNA (295 nucleotides) under Manihot esculenta (cassava). RNAcentral's name for it is "long non-coding RNA (MESC_LNC006531)". Lineage: Eukaryota; Viridiplantae; Streptophyta; Magnoliopsida; Malpighiales; Euphorbiaceae. The record is from RNAcentral.
UCAUAAGGGGAAAGGCUCCCUAUUUAAAGAAAAUUUUCGAAUCUUUACUAUUUUCAUGUGAUUAGAUGAGGACAAAAAUUUUACUGCUCAUGAAUAGUUUGUCUGCCACCGAAUCUUUACUGUUUCUGUCUUUACCCUAAGUUUGAAGAUGAGGACGAAGAGGUGUCCUUGUUUUUCUUUCCUUUUUUCUUUAGCUUUUCUUUCUUUUCUUUUUCUUUCUUUUUCUUUUCUUUUCUUUUUAUCUUGUCUGUCUUGCUCUUUAUUUUGAUAGCUGGAAGUAUUUCAUAACAGUCAU